Long non-coding RNA from Nanorana parkeri, 415 nucleotides. RefSeq lists it as uncharacterized. Lineage: Eukaryota; Metazoa; Chordata; Amphibia; Anura; Dicroglossidae. The transcript has 2 exons. The record is from RefSeq and is a predicted model, not a curated record.
AUUGAACAUGUUGUCUUUUCUCCAACUCGCAGGAGGAUGAAGACGCAGUGCAGUUUGCGAACCGCGUGAAGUCAGCCAUUGCUCGGCAAGGGGGACUCGUCGAUCUGCUUUGGGAUGGGGGACUAAAACGGGAUAAGGUCAAAGACGCGUUCAAAGAGGAGCAACAGAAACUGUACAGCCGCAUCAUCUCUGGAAACCAGGAGAACCGGAGUCGCUCCUGAACCCCAGAACGGGGAAGCGAGCUCUGCCCCGAGCCAAGCCGCUGCUCCAAAACCCACAGGAAGAAGACUCUGAGCCGCAGGAAUAUAAGCCAUGGAGCGGGAGAUGAGGGAACACCAGAACACGGAGCCACUCUGGAUUACUUUAUAAUUGAGGAACUGAUACUGCCAGAGCAAUGGCGUGCAGCGGGUCCUUU